UACGGAGGGUGCAAGCGUUAUCCGGAAUCACUGGGUUUAAAGGGUGCGUAGGCGGCUUGAUAAGUCAGAGGUGAAAGGUUGUCGCUUAACGAUAGAACUGCCUUUGAUACUGUUAAGCUUGAAAGUAGGUGAGGUUGGCGGAAUGUGACAUGUAGCGGUGAAAUGCAUAGAUAUGUCAUAGAACACCGAUUGCGAAGGCAGCUGGCUGGGCUUACUUUGACGCUGAGGCACGAAAGCGUGGGGAGCGAACAGG
This 253-nucleotide ribosomal RNA is filed under the name uncultured bacterium. RNAcentral describes it as "partial 16S ribosomal RNA". It matches the Rfam family "Bacterial small subunit ribosomal RNA", at positions 524 to 776 of the family's 1533-position model. The record is from RNAcentral.